Molecule: ribosomal RNA, 429 nt
Filed under: uncultured Dialister sp.
Lineage: Bacteria; Bacillati; Bacillota; Negativicutes; Veillonellales; Veillonellaceae
Description: bacterial SSU rRNA
Rfam family: Bacterial small subunit ribosomal RNA
Source: RNAcentral
UGGGGAAUCUUCCGCAAUGGGCGAAAGCCUGACGGAGCAACGCCGCGUGAGUGAAGACGGCCUUCGGGUUGUAAAACUCUGUGAUUCGGGACGAAAGAUAAGCAGACGAAUAAUCUGCAUAAGUGACGGUACCGAAAAAGCAAGCCACGGCUAACUACGUGCCAGCAGCCGCGGUAAUACGUAGGUGGCAAGCGUUGUCCGGAAUUAUUGGGCGUAAAGCGCGCGCAGGCGGCUACUUAAGUCCAUCUUAAAAGUGCGGGGCUUAACCCCGUGAUGGGAUGGAAACUGAGAAGCUGGAGUGUCGGAGAGGAAAGUGGAAUUCCUAGUGUAGCGGUGAAAUGCGUAGAGAUUAGGAAGAACACCGGUGGCGAAGGCGACUUUCUGGACGACAACUGACGCUUAGGUGCGAAAGCGUGGGGAGCAAACAGG